This 1427-nucleotide ribosomal RNA is filed under the name metagenome. RNAcentral's name for it is "bacterial SSU rRNA". It matches the Rfam family "Archaeal small subunit ribosomal RNA". The record is from RNAcentral.
ACCCGUUGAUCCUGCGGGAGGUUGCUGCUAUUAGGAUUCGACUAAGCCAUGCAAGUCUGGUAGCAAUACCGGCGAAAUGCUCAGUAACACGUCAAUAAUUUGCCCUUAGGUUCGGCAUACCCUCGGGAAACUGAGGUUAACACCGAAUAGAGUAAUAAUUCUGGAAUGUCAUUACUUUAAAAGCAAUGCCUAAGGAUAAGGUGGCGGUCGAUUAGGUUGUUGGUGAGGUAAUGGCUCACCAAGCCAAAGAUCGAUAGGGGCCCUGAGAGGGGUAGCCCCGAGAAGGGUACUGAGACACUGACCCUAGCCCUACGGGGUGCAGCAGGCGCGAAACCUUUACAAUGCACGCAAGUGUGAUAAGGGAAUCCUAAGUGCUUUGCUUUUAGCAAGGCUUUUGCCAAAUGUAAAUAGUUUGGAGAAUAAGUGGUAGGCAAGACUGGUGCCAGCCGCCGCGGUAACACCAGCGUCCACAAGUGGCAACCAUGAUUAUUGGGCCUAAAGCGUCCGUAGCCGGUUUGAUAAAUUCUUUGUGAAAUUGUUAGGCUCAACCUAACAGCGUGCAGAGGAGACUGUCAAACUUGGAACCGGGAGGGGUUAGGGGUAUUCUGGGGGGAGCGGUAAAAUGUUAUAAUCCCCAGAGGACCACCUGUGGCGAAGGCGCCUAACCAGAACGGAUUCGACGGUGAGGGACGAAAGCUAGGGGAGCAAUCCGGAUUAGAUACCCGAGUAGUCCUAGCUGUAAACUCUGCGAGCUAGGUGUUGCAUAAUCUUCGAGAUUAUGCAGUGUCGAAGCGAAGGUGUUAAGCUCGCCGCCUGGGAAGUAUGGUCGCAAGACUGAAACUUAAAGGAAUUGCGGGGGAGCACUACAAGGGGUGCGGCGUGCGGUUUAAUCUAAUUCAACGCAGAGAAUCUCACCAGAAGCGACGGCAGGAUGAAGGUCAGUUUAAAGGGCUUACUUGACGAGCCGAGAGGUAGUGCAUGGCCGCCGUCAGCUCGUGCCGUAAGGUGUCCUGUUAAGUCAGGCAACGAGCGAGACCUGCACUUACAAUUGCUAACGAGUCUGCAAAGAUGAUUGAGCACAUUGUGAGGACUGCCUCUGAAAAGGGGAGGAAGGUGCAGGCUACGGUAGGUCUGUAUGCUCCGAAUCUUCUGGGCUACACGCGCGCAGCAAUGGUAGGGACAAUGGGCUACAACUCCGAAAGGAGAAGUUAAUCCUCGACACCCUAUCUAUGUCCAGAUUGAGGAUUGUAACUCAUCCUCAUGACGCCGGAAUCCCUAGUAAUCGGAGUUUAUCAUACUCCGGUGAAUAUGUCCCUGCUCCUUGCACACACCGCCCGUCAAGCCACCCGAGUAGGGUUUAGAUGAGGCCUUAUUUUUAAUAAGUUCGAAUCUAUACUCAGCGAGGAGGGCUAAGUCGUCACAAGGUA